CCCGCUGAACUUAAGCAUAUCAAUAAGCGGAGGAAAAGAAACCAACAGGGAUUGCCUCAGUAACGGCGAGUGAAGCGGCAACAGCUCAAAUUUGAAAUCUGGCUCUUUCAGGGCCCGAGUUGUAAUUUGUAGAGGAUGCUUCGGCGUCGGCUCCGGUCUAAGUUCCUUGGAACAGGACGUCAUAGAGGGUGAGAAUCCCGUAUGUGAUCGGUUGCCUCUGCCAUGUGAAGCUCCUUCGACGAGUCGAGUUGUUUGGGAAUGCAGCUCUAAAUGGGAGGUAAAUUUCUUCUAAAGCUAAAUACUGGCCAGAGACCGAUAGCGCACAAGUAGAGUGAUCGAAAGAUGAAAAGCACUUUGGAAAGAGAGUCAAAAAGUACGUGAAAUUGUUGAAAGGGAAGCGCUUGCAACCAGACCUGCCUGCAGUUGCUCAUCCGUGGCUUUUGCCCGGUGCACUCUUCUGCUGUCAGGCCAGCAUCAGUUCGGGCGGUCGGAUAAAGGCUCCGGGAAUGUGGCUCUCUUCGGGGAGUGUUAUAGCCCGAGGUGCAAUGCAGCCCACCCGGACCGAGGACCGCGCUUCGGCUAGGAUGCUGGCGUAAUGGUUGUAAGCGACCCGUCUUGAAACACGG
RNAcentral lists this ribosomal RNA (626 nucleotides) under uncultured fungus. RNAcentral describes it as "eukaryotic LSU rRNA". It matches the Rfam family "Eukaryotic large subunit ribosomal RNA", at positions 24 to 664 of the family's 3401-position model. The record is from RNAcentral. Lineage: Eukaryota; Fungi.